CCUACGGGCGGCAGCAGUGAGGAAUAUUGGUCAAUGGGCGCGACCCUGAACCAGCCAAGCCGCGUGAGUGAGGACGGCCCUACGGGUUGUAAACCUCUUUUGCCGGGGAGCAACGGGCGUCACGUGUGGCGCCACUGAGAGUACCCGGAGAAACAGCAUCGGCUAACUCCGUGCCAGCAGCCGCGGUAAUACGGGGGAUGCGAGCGUAAUCCGGCUUUAUUGGGUUAAAGGGUGGCGUAGGCGGAUCGUUAAGUCAGUGGUAAAAUUGAGGGGCUCAACCCCUUCCCGCCAUUGAAACUGGCGUUCUUGAGUGGAAGAGAGGUAAGCGGAAUGCGUGGUGUAGCGGUGAAAUGCAUAGAUAUCACGCAGAACCCCGAUUGCGAAGGCAGCAUGCCGGCUUCCGACUGACGCUGAAGCACGAAAGCGUGGGGAUCGAACAGGAUUAGAUACCCCAGUAGUC
Molecule: ribosomal RNA, 460 nt
Filed under: uncultured bacterium
Lineage: Bacteria
Description: partial 16S ribosomal RNA
Rfam family: Bacterial small subunit ribosomal RNA
Source: RNAcentral